Molecule: non-coding RNA, 95 nt
Organism: Paramarasmius palmivorus
Lineage: Eukaryota; Fungi; Basidiomycota; Agaricomycetes; Agaricales; Marasmiaceae
Source: the annotation of a GenBank genome assembly
GGUUCGAUGGUGUAGUCGGUCAUCACAUCUGUCUCACAUCGCCUCAGUACGGACUUGUGCACAGAAGGUCUCCAGUUCGAAUCUGGAUCGAACCA